Long non-coding RNA from Aegilops tauschii subsp. strangulata, 1215 nucleotides. RefSeq lists it as uncharacterized. The record is from RefSeq and is a predicted model, not a curated record. Lineage: Eukaryota; Viridiplantae; Streptophyta; Magnoliopsida; Poales; Poaceae.
GAGCGGCGGUGAUAGCCGACACGAGGGAGCGCGCGGCGCCGGUGUAGGCGAGCCCCACCUAACCUGUAACUUCGAAUCCACCUCGCGCGAGCGAGCGGCGGCGAUAGCCGGCGCGAGGGAGCGCGCAACGCUGGCGGCGGCGACCCCCACCUAACCUGUAGAUUCGAAUCCGCCUCGAGCUCUGGAUUUGAUCCGCUUCGUCACGAUGGAGGCCAGCGAUUCCCGGUUAGAUCAUCACUUCUGGAUUCCACCCCUUAAUAAGCUUUGGAUCUCUCACUGCUUCUUCUUCUUCUUUGAUUCCCCCAAAUGUUUGUUGUUUGAAUCAUCGACGGCAAAUCUGCAAGUUGCAUUGUGAGUUUUGCGUGCAGUUAGCUGGUUUGCGUCCCUGUUAGUUGGUAAUGUGUAUAAAAUAUGAGCUUAGAUGUUGGAGACAACAUUCAGUUAGCUCUGUGGGCUUGUGUAGUUUGAGGUAGAAAACGUGCUUUGCUUGUGCUUGAGUUUUGCGUGCAGUUAGUUGGUUGCGUCCCUGUCAGUUUGCUAAUGUGUAUAGAAAUCUGAAGUUAGCUGUUGGAGAAAGCAUUCAGUUAGCUCUAUGGGCUUCUGGUUGCAUUUGCGCAGUUAACUAUGAAAACUUUUCUUCACUACUUGUAGUAAAAAAAAAUGGCACCUGAUGAAGACGAUGAUGACCUGACUAGCUGGACUGUACGUGUCGACACGCAAAACUCCCCCGUGUAGAAUGACCCAGUUUAUGUUUUAAAACCAGUGGUGGUGCAAACUGCAAGGUAUCCACCAUAGGCGCCAAUGAAUGAAAGAGUUACUGGACGCAAUUGCGAACCUGUGCCGCGCCUGAAGAACCGUCAACACCAAUCAAGUGUCCUGGAGACAAUCAAUGAGGUGGAUGAUGGACCUGCACAAGAUGAUGAUGAACACAUGGAUGCUGCCGAUGAAAGUGAUGAUAACAUUGAAUGCUGGACUAAGAUUGUUCCUCAAGAUGACUACGAGCGAGAACUCGAGCAAGUGUUUGUUCUAAGGCCUAAAACACCAUGUCCGCGAUAUCCACAAGCUCAAGAAGACCAGUCUGGUUAGAGCGAUGAUAAGGCAGGUGCAGAUACUUGUACAGAUAACUGUGAGAAAGCUAGGACUGCACAUUGUUCUGCCGCCCAAAAAAAGAUAACAAAAAUGAUGUUCUACUAACAUCAGCAAUUAGGUGUUCCA